This 450-nucleotide ribosomal RNA is filed under the name uncultured bacterium. Its description in RNAcentral is "partial 16S ribosomal RNA". It matches the Rfam family "Bacterial small subunit ribosomal RNA", at positions 28 to 506 of the family's 1533-position model. The record is from RNAcentral.
GAUGAACGCUGGCGGCGUGCCUAACACAUGCAAGUCGAGCGGCAGCGAGGGGUGCUUGCACCCUGUCGGCGAGCGGCGGACGGCUGAGUAACGCGUGGGAACGUGCCCCAAAGUGAGGAAUAACUGCCCGAAAGGGUAGCUAAUACCGCAUAUUAUCUUCGGAUCAAAGGAUUUAUCCGCUUUGGGAGCGGCUCGCGUCGGAUUAGGUAGUUGGUGAGGUAAUGGCUCACCAAGCCGACGAUCCGUAGCUGGUCUGAGAGGAUGACCAGCCAGACUGGAACUGAGACACGGUCCAGACUCCUACGGGAGGCAGCAGUGAGGAAUCUUCCACAAUGGGCGAAAGCCUGAUGGAGCAACGCCGCGUGCAGGACGAAGGCCUUCGGGUUGUAAACUGCUUUUAUAAGUGAGGAAUAAGACGGUAACUUAGGAAUAAGGAUCGGCUAACUACGU